Long non-coding RNA from Gadus morhua (Atlantic cod), 1630 nucleotides. RefSeq lists it as uncharacterized. The record is from RefSeq and is a predicted model, not a curated record. The transcript is spliced from 2 exons. NCBI's taxonomy places the organism in Eukaryota, Metazoa, Chordata, Actinopteri, Gadiformes, Gadidae.
UUCCACUCAUCAGACUGGGGGUGAGAGUGACUGCAGACAUUCUGGGAGGACCGCUGUAUCUCUUCUACAUUCACACUUUUGGAAUACAAAUUCAGAUUUACUGGAAACUAUUGGAAUUUAUAAUGUAUAACAUUUUAUCUGGUUGAGGUCGAUCUUGGUUUGUAUGAAAUCCUUUGGCUUUCUAAUUGAGGGAUAUUAUUACCUAAAACCAGAAUAAUAGAUAAAAACAUAUUGUUCUGUUUAUAAUAAAUGCAUGAUUAUAACAUUGGCUUGAAGGUUUUUUAUUCGGUCAAAUAUUUAGACUUGUGUUAAAACAAUGAACCUUUUGUAAUUUUGCGUUUAAUAAUGUUAUGAAAAUAAAUAAUUACAUUUAUUUCAUUAAAUCUUUUCAAACAAAUAAUGUAUAUUGAUUAUAAUAUUUCCAGUGAAACAAAUAUCGACUUAUUCAUCCAUUCUAGUGAAAAGCCAGUGUUUGUGUGUCAGUGAGAUGAGUCUUUAAUGUGCGGGAGGUUUUUGUACAGCCUCUUAAUGCGUUUGUAUCACUGUGGGGGACUUUUGGUGGAGGCACCAAACUCAUCGUUAACUGUAAGUACAAGGACACUUUUCUUUGCCUGGCAUAUUUAACUUUCUCUAAAUAUAAUUAAGCGUGAUGAUCUUAUCUUUUGGAACUUUCUAUAUUUUUAAUUUCUGGUCGUUUUUUUUUAAUGAUAAGCUGAGGACAAAGUGUAAAUAUAUUGUGGUACAGAGUUCUGUCUUUUAAAUUACACUGCAUAUGUUACAUAUGUUGUACAAUAUAAUGUAUUUCAUGAAAGACCUCAUUAUUGCUGUGACAUUAUUCAUUCAUCAGUCACAUUUAAGUUUGAAGAAAUUCAAACUUUUUUUCGAUUAAUGUUAACCCAAUAAAAUGCUAAAUUUUGAAGUUCAAUCAUUUAAAAUAUAAUCAUGUUACCGUUUUAAUGGAGAGAUUUUAAACACAAUGGUUUCCUUCCUCUUUAAUAUCACCAACUUCUGGUGAACAGGAAGCUGUCCCUUCCCUCUGUGCUCCUAUGAGGCUGAUGUUAACUGAGCCUGUUGUCCACUCCUCUCUCUCUCUUCCAGUGGGAGUGGUGCAGCCCACGCUGAGCGUCCUCCCUCCCUCCAGAGUGGAGCUGGAGCAGGGCAGUGCUACACUAGUGUGUGCGGCCAGUGGGGGCUUCCCCUCAGACUGGAAGCUUGGCUGGAAGGUGGGGGGCAGCAGCAGGUCUGGAGGAGUGACCGAUAGCCUGGGGGUCCAGGGGAAAGAUGGCCACUACAGCUGGAGCAGCACCUUGACCCUCCCUGCAGACCAGUGGAGGAAGGCGGGCUCAGUGAGCUGUGAGGCCAGUAAGAAUGGCCAGACGCAGCCUGUCACUCAAACCCUGAAUCCUGACCAGUGUUCAGAGUAGAGAGGCUCCAGCAUGGAGGUACUGGAGAACACAGAUCUCCUCUUACACGUCUGCUUUAUGUCUCUCUGUCUGAGGUGACACUGCAUCUUUUGAUGAUUUACAUUAAUAUAACACGUCUUUGAUUCAUUAACAUGAUGCUCUCUGGAAUUUACCCGUUGCUUGUGUUGGUCACUUGUUGAACAUUUAAUAAAGAUUUAAAGAAUAAA